This 396-nucleotide ribosomal RNA is filed under the name uncultured bacterium. RNAcentral's name for it is "partial 16S ribosomal RNA". It matches the Rfam family "Bacterial small subunit ribosomal RNA", at positions 523 to 918 of the family's 1533-position model. The record is from RNAcentral.
AUACGGAGGAUGCGAGCGUUAUCCGGAUUUAUUGGGUUUAAAGGGUGCGCAGGCGGCGCGUCAAGUCAGCGGUCAAACUGCGGGGCUCAACCCCGUACCGCCGUUGAAACUGGCGUGCUUGAGUCUGUGGGACGGCGGCGGAAUGCGCGGUGUAGCGGUGAAAUGCAUAGAUAUCACGCAGAACUCCGAUUGCGAAGGCAGCUGCCGACCACAUCACUGACGCUCAUGCACGAAAGCGUGGGUAUCGAACAGGAUUAGAUACCCGGGUAGUCCACGCAGUAAACGAUGAUUACUAGCUGUCCGGGGCGAGUGAGCCCUGGGGGGCACAGCGAAAGCGUUAAGUCAUCCACCUGGGGAGUACGCCGGCAACGGUGAAACUCAAAUGAAUUGACUGGG